AGAUGCGAGGGCGAUCUGGCCGCAACAUUUGUCACCCCUCGGAUUGCCAGGGUUCACUCAGCUAAUCUGGCUAGCCCUGUGGGGGUCCCCUUCCUCCCUCACCCGGCCAUGUGCAUCCGUCCCCAAGCUGGGCGCUCUGCACAAGAGGACGACAUUUCCAGAUAGGGGAGGAUCUUCUUUGGUCAAGGGUAUAUGAGUUGCUGUGCUCUCCCAUUAGAACCUUGAAACAAGCUCUCAAGGUCCAUUUGUAGGAGAAGGUGGGGUAGUCGGGCUUCCAAGACUCUAGACACAUCUAAUAAAACACUGCAUGUGGAGGUCUGCCUAUCUUA
Unclassified non-coding RNA from Panthera tigris altaica (Amur tiger), 329 nucleotides. Its record names the gene 7SK. It matches the Rfam family "7SK RNA". From Rfam's summary of the family: 7SK was discovered as an abundant small nuclear RNA in the mid-70s but a possible function has only recently been suggested. Two independent studies have found that 7SK RNA binds the CDK9/cyclin T complex (known as elongation factor P-TEFb). P-TEFb activates transcription by phosphorylating the C-terminal domain of RNA polymerase II. The record is from Ensembl. NCBI's taxonomy places the organism in Eukaryota, Metazoa, Chordata, Mammalia, Carnivora, Felidae.